CACGUAGGCGGUAUUGCAAGUCGGAUGUGAAAUCCCUCGGCUCAACCAAGGAAGUGCAUCCGAAACUGCCGUACUUGAGUACUUAAGAGGAUCGCGGAAUUCCCGGUGUAGAGGUGAAAUUCGUAGAUAUCGGGAGGAACACCAGUGGCGAAGGCGGCGAUCUGGGAAGAUACUGACGCUGAGGUGCGAAAGCGUGGGGAGCAAACA
RNAcentral lists this ribosomal RNA (207 nucleotides) under uncultured bacterium. Its description in RNAcentral is "partial 16S ribosomal RNA". It matches the Rfam family "Bacterial small subunit ribosomal RNA", at positions 568 to 774 of the family's 1533-position model. The record is from RNAcentral.